This 76-nucleotide transfer RNA is filed under the name Nitrospira sp. Its description in RNAcentral is "tRNA-Phe". It matches the Rfam family "tRNA". From Rfam's summary of the family: Transfer RNA (tRNA) molecules are approximately 80 nucleotides in length. Their secondary structure includes four short double-helical elements and three loops (D, anti-codon, and T loops). The record is from RNAcentral. RNAcentral also lists the same sequence under 12 other names. Lineage: Bacteria; Pseudomonadati; Nitrospirota; Nitrospiria; Nitrospirales; Nitrospiraceae.
GGCCAGGUAGCUCAGUUGGUAGAGCAGCGGACUGAAAAUCCGCGUGUCGGUGGUUCAAUUCCACCCCUGGCCACCA